RNAcentral lists this long non-coding RNA (1198 nucleotides) under Oryctolagus cuniculus (rabbit). RNAcentral describes it as "lncRNA (ENSOCUG00000033090.1)". The record is from RNAcentral. Lineage: Eukaryota; Metazoa; Chordata; Mammalia; Lagomorpha; Leporidae.
GGCCGUCACACUGGGAGAGAGUGUGGGGUGGGGUGGACGCCCCUUUCUGUCACUCACUCACACUUGUGAUGGCGGCACGGGGAAGGGGGCAGAAUCAUUGUCACCUCAUCACUCCUUAAAGGGCUCCCUCCCCACACUGCGGGGUGGGGACACUGCACCUGCUCUCCCUCCACUGGGCCCGCACCUCUUCUGCAGCAGCCUUUGGCUUGUGAGGGCUUCUGUGCCCAGCGGGUAUCGGCUCUGACCUUCCUCUCCUCCCAGGGCCCAAGAUCCUGGAGGGGGCCAGAGGGGCUGCGCUCACACACGGAGCCCAGCUCCACGCCUUUCCCUGUCAUCCGCCCGCUCAGAGUUGUCUGGAUCGCAAUGGCUCUUACAGAAUGGUCACACUCUACGGGAACCACAGCACAUCCCUCAGCUUGGCUGGAUUAACUGUCGUGGGAAGUCACUGUUGGAGGCCGGUGUCAAAGCCCAGAUAGAGAGCCUGUGGCAAGCAGCCAGGACAGCAGGAACCUGACUUCUGCUGGCACAUGGACCACAAUUUAAGAGGUUGACUUGGAACUGCAGUAUCUUCUCAGUUAGGGUGAGUUUUUCUUCCCAUGAUCCAACAGGUUUUUCCCAGGUGAUGGAUUGGCAUUUCUGGGCGGAGCUGGGGAGCCUGCAGGGCUCUUAGGGUGGCAUUUGCCCGGUGUCCUGGGGCGACCCUCCAUGUGAACCCUGGAUGGGGACAAUCUUCACUGCCUGUCACAGCUCAGGAUGGUUCUGAGGUCCGCCUUCAAAGCCUUUCUCUGGUGGCCAGAACUCUUUAGAGGCCACACUGCCUGAGUUUGUUUUCUGUGAAGGCUGACAGUGAAUCUCUUCUCCUUGGGAAUUCUCCCUUUGUGUCCUGCCUUUCCUCAGGGAGGUGUCGUUUGACAGCAGACACGCUACGAAGAAUGUCUCCAAAUCCUACCUUUGCAGCCUGAGCCCCUAGCACGCAGGCUCCUGGGAGCUCCAUCUCCCUGAGCCAGACUCGAGGCGCCCAAGAGACACAGAGAGAGAAAUCUUUGAAGUCGAAUGCGUUAGGACUAAUUACUCCUCAGAAGCAUUUGCAAAGUAAUUAUGGACUAUUGUUAGGAUGCUCCAGUGGUUGAUUUUUUUUUUUAAAUGAUGAAGCUUUGCAUUGAAUAAAUGCUUAUGGGGGAAAGGAGGUGAUGAUAAG